RNAcentral lists this ribosomal RNA (24 nucleotides) under Paralepista flaccida. RNAcentral describes it as "partial 28S ribosomal RNA". The record is from RNAcentral. Lineage: Eukaryota; Fungi; Basidiomycota; Agaricomycetes; Agaricales; Paralepistaceae.
UUUGACCUCAAAUCAGGUAGACUA